GACGAACGCUGGCGGCGUGCUUAACACAUGCAAGUCGAACGGAAAGGCCCUGCUUUUGUGGGGUGCUCGAGUGGCGAACGGGUGAGUAACACGUGAGUAACCUGCCCUUGACUUUGGGAUAACUUCAGGAAACUGGGGCUAAUACCGGAUAGGAUCUCCUGCUGCAUGGUGGGGGUUGGAAAGUUUCGGCGGUUGGGGAUGGACUCGCGGCUUAUCAGCUUGUUGGUGGGGUAGUGGCUUACCAAGGCUUUGACGGGUAGCCGGCCUGAGAGGGUGACCGGCCACAUUGGGACUGAGGGACGGCCCAGACUGCUACGGGAGGCAGCAGUGGGGAAUAUUGCACAAUGGGCGGAAGCCUGAUGCAGCAACGCCGCGGGCGGGAUGACGGCCUUCGGGUUGUAAACCGCUUUCGCCUGUGACGAAGCGUGAGUGACGGUAAUGGGUAAAGAAGCACCGGCUAACUACGUG
RNAcentral lists this ribosomal RNA (468 nucleotides) under uncultured bacterium. RNAcentral's name for it is "partial 16S ribosomal RNA". It matches the Rfam family "Bacterial small subunit ribosomal RNA", at positions 28 to 507 of the family's 1533-position model. The record is from RNAcentral.